Molecule: ribosomal RNA, 506 nt
Filed under: uncultured bacterium
Lineage: Bacteria
Description: partial 16S ribosomal RNA
Rfam family: Bacterial small subunit ribosomal RNA
Source: RNAcentral
AGUGAACGCUGGCGGUAGGCCUAACACAUGCAAGUCGAACGGCAGCACAGAGGAGCUUGCUCCUUGGGUGGCGAGUGGCGGGCGGGUGAGGAAUACAUCGGAAUCUACGCUCUCGUGAGGGAUAACGUAGGCAAACUUACGCUAAUACGCCAUUCGACCUACGGGUGGAAGCAGGGGACCUUCGGGCCUUGCGCGAGUGAAGGGUCCGAUGUCGGAUUAGCUAGUUGGCGGGGCAAAGGCCCACCAAGGCGACGAUCCGUAGCUGGGCUGAGAGGAUGAUCCGGCACACUGGAACUGAGAAACGGUACAGACUCCUACGGGAGGCAGCAGUGGGGAAUAUUGGACAAUGGGCGCAAGCCUGAUCCAGCCAUACCGCGUGGGUGAAGAAGGCCUUCGGGUUGUAAAGCCCUUUUGUUGGGAAAGAAAUUCAGCUGGCUAAUACCCGGUUGGGAUGACGGUACCCAAAGAAUAAGCACCGGCUAACUUCGUGCCAGCCGCCGCCGUAA